Molecule: long non-coding RNA, 1542 nt
Organism: Notothenia coriiceps (black rockcod)
Lineage: Eukaryota; Metazoa; Chordata; Actinopteri; Perciformes; Nototheniidae
Exons: 3
Source: RefSeq, a predicted model, not a curated record
UUACAUGUCCAUGCUCAGUGUUUUUAUCUAUUUUUUUCACACAGGGGGCAAAGGGGACCGGGAAAUGAUUCCACUGAACGACAUGGGACCAGAUGCCUACUCCACACUGGACCAGAGAGGCAGAAGGAAUACUCUGGAUAACACACUCGAACCUGCUGACAGAAAUGCAGUACAGAAAAACUGAUAGUGUGCAUCACGAGACGACAGCCUCCUCCCACCUACUGCCCUUGCUGAACUGACAAAUGGGGGACCACAACACUACGGAUGGGACUCAAAACUCCAUCCUUUACACUCAACUCUCCUGUCCCCUCUUCACUCUUUUUGCAGCUCCUCUUCUUUCUCUCUUUCCCUUUUGGUUACAUUCCUUUAUCGCAGCUUGGAAAACUUAACAAAAUCACACGGAGACAAACGGACGUGGAUCUACGCUCCCUGUGGAAAACCGGACGAGACACUUUGACCACUUUUGUGCGCCGCGAGACCCUUAACUCCAAAACCACUCGAUCAGACACCACGGCUACAACACUACAUCUCCAAGCUACACUACGACACUGCAACUCGCCUGGACAACAUUAAUUCUCUCUUCAACCAAAGGCAGAGACUGUGGUCAGAACAGGACCCUUUUUGGUGAACUUUUACACAACACUUCAAGGACAUGUCUUUCUCUCUCUAUGAUUGUUCAAUACUACAAACAAAUGUUUUUCCUACCAUUGAUAACCAAUGUUUAAUGAUCUAAUCAGAUAUGUGUGAAAGCUUCUGCUUCUGUUUUUGGUUGUGGUUGUUCCUCUUCUUAAUCCGCUCUGUACCAUAGUUAAUGUACAUGUGCCAAAUGACACUGCUACCGCUGCCAAUUCUAAAUGCAACAAACCGGCGUCUGCUUUGUUUUGUUUGCAGCUUGUGACGGUCAACAUGAUUCAUGGGGGCUGCUGCGUAUUUCUGUAUAGGUUUGUGAUCUGUAGAUGUAAAAGGGUGGAGGUGCCAGUAUCAAUACAAACAUAUAAUUAUUCUCCAUCUCGUCGGUGUAUUCUACGUUUCUGUUAAGUGGCGUUUCUGUUAAGUGUAAGCAUCUUAACUUUGUGAUUCUUGGGAGAUAUUACAGGAUUCCUGGGCAGCAUUUCCGUCUGUAAAUCUUAUGAAUGUGUUCAAACAAACAGCAUCUCUGUAUGUGGGCUAACUGGAGUGCCUCGCUUAUCAGGAUAGUUCUGAUGAGUGUGCCUAACAUGAAACAGGGGAGGGGGGGGAGGUAACCAAACAAGGUGUAUUUUUCUCAGCAGUUGGGGAAUACUGUACAUUAAACUCGCCUGUUUUCUAUUCUGCAAAAAAUAAUGGGACAGGAUCUUGCUCGUGUGAUGUAAUUGGAAAUGUCUUUUUAUAAGGUAUACAACUCUAAUGUACUGCUUCAAAGUCUACCUGUCUUUAACACUACACAACAGUACAUGGGAGAAGACACAGUGCUGUCUGCUUUUACCUACAUUUCUUACAUACAGUUAUGUAGAAACAUGUUUAGUGCCGAGUGAGAUGUAGAUACUGAGUGGAUGAUUAAAA